Molecule: long non-coding RNA, 124 nt
Organism: Haliotis rubra (blacklip abalone)
Lineage: Eukaryota; Metazoa; Mollusca; Gastropoda; Lepetellida; Haliotidae
Exons: 3
Source: RefSeq, a predicted model, not a curated record
AAUAAACAUGCUAACAUCCAAUUGCCUUCCACUGAUUUACACUCCUGAACUUGAAAUUAUGGAGACAAGUGACACCGCCUCAUAUUUAGAUCUAUGCACAAAGAUUCAGAGUGACAAAAAAACU